AUACGUAGGGUGCAAGCGUUAAUCGGAAUUACUGGGCGUAAAGCGUGCGCAGGCGGUUUUGUAAGACAGAGGUGAAAUCCCCGGGCUCAACCUGGGAACUGCCUUUGUGACUGCAAGGCUAGAGUACGGCAGAGGGGGAUGGAAUUCCGCGUGUAGCAGUGAAAUGCGUAGAUAUGCGGAGGAACACCGAUGGCGAAGGCAAUCCCCUGGGCCUGUACUGACGCUCAUGCACGAAAGCGUGGGGAGCAAACAGGAUUAGAUACCCUGGUAGUCCACGCCCUAAACGAUGUCAACUGGUUGUUGGGUCUUCAUUGACUCAGUAACGAAGCUAACACGUGAAGUUGACCGCCUGGGGAGUACGGCCGCAAGGUUGAAACUUAAAGGAAUUGGCGGGG
This 395-nucleotide ribosomal RNA is filed under the name uncultured bacterium. Its description in RNAcentral is "partial 16S ribosomal RNA". It matches the Rfam family "Bacterial small subunit ribosomal RNA", at positions 523 to 918 of the family's 1533-position model. The record is from RNAcentral.